Molecule: ribosomal RNA, 265 nt
Filed under: uncultured bacterium
Lineage: Bacteria
Description: partial 16S ribosomal RNA
Rfam family: Bacterial small subunit ribosomal RNA
Source: RNAcentral
UACGGAGGGUGCAAACGUUGCUCGGAAUCAUUGGGCGUAAAGCGCACGUAGGCGGCUCGUUAAGUCGGAUGUGAAAGCCCCGGGCUCAACCCGGGAAGUGCAUUCGAAACUGGCGAGCUUGAAUAUGGAAGAGGGUCGCGGAAUUCCCGGUGUAGAGGUGAAAUUCGUAGAUAUUGGGAAGAACACCGGUGGCGAAGGCGGCGACCUGGUCCGGGACUGACGCUGAGGCGCGAAAGCGUGGGGAGCAAACAGGAUUAGAAACCCU